RNAcentral lists this ribosomal RNA (405 nucleotides) under uncultured bacterium. RNAcentral's name for it is "bacterial SSU rRNA". It matches the Rfam family "Bacterial small subunit ribosomal RNA", at positions 975 to 1375 of the family's 1533-position model. The record is from RNAcentral.
CUGGGUUUGACAUGGGAGUGAAAGUCUUCAGAGAUGGAGGCCUUUCCUUCGGGAACACUCUACACAGGUGCUGCAUGGUUGUCGUCAGCUCGUGUCGUGAGAUGUUGGGUUAAGUCCCGCAACGAGCGCAACCCUCGCCAUUAGUUGCCAGCGGGUAAUGCCGGGAACUCUAAUGGGACUGCUUGGAAUAACCAGGAGGAAGGUGGGGAUGACGUCAAAUCAUCAUGGCCCUUACGUCCAGGGCUAGACACGUGCUACAAUGGCCAGUACAAAGGGUUGCAAGACUGCGAAGUCAAGCUAAUCCCGCAAAAUUGGUCUCAGUUCGGAUUGAAGUCUGCAAUUUGACUUCAUGAAGCUGGAAUCGCUAGUAAUCGUGGAUCAGCAUGCCACGGUGAAUACGUUCCC